GGGCUUGUGGUCUAGUGGUAUGACGUUUCCCUCACACGGAAAAGGUCGCCGGUUCGAUUCCGGCCAAGCCCA
This 72-nucleotide transfer RNA is filed under the name Candidatus Nanoarchaeia archaeon. Its description in RNAcentral is "tRNA-Val". It matches the Rfam family "tRNA". From Rfam's summary of the family: Transfer RNA (tRNA) molecules are approximately 80 nucleotides in length. Lineage: Archaea; Nanobdellati; Nanobdellota; Candidatus Nanoarchaeia. RNAcentral also lists the same sequence under 1 other name. The record is from RNAcentral.